This 1324-nucleotide ribosomal RNA is filed under the name metagenome. RNAcentral's name for it is "bacterial LSU rRNA". It matches the Rfam family "Bacterial large subunit ribosomal RNA", at positions 1561 to 2925 of the family's 2925-position model. The record is from RNAcentral.
AGUGGAUGGGGAGCAACCUAGUUGUGCGUGUGUAAAGGUAGUGCCAAGAAAAGCGAUGAUCAUGUUGAAAAUCAAUUCCCGGUACCCGAAACCGACACAGGUGGGCAAGUAGAGAAUACUAAGGGGCGCGAGGUAACUCUCUCCAAGGAACUCGGCAAAAUGACCCCGUAACUUAGGGAGAAGGGGUGCCACCGAGAGGUGGUCGCAGUGAAGAGGCCCAGGCGACUGUUUAGCAAAAACAUAGGUCUCUGCAAACUCGAAAGAGGAGGUAUAGGGGCUGACGCCUGCCCAGUGCCGGAAGGUUAAAGAAGUUGGUCAGUUUUAGGAUGAAGCUAGCGACUGAAGCCCCGGUGAACGGCGGCCGUAACUAUAACGGUCCUAAGGUAGCGAAAUUCCUUGUCGGGUAAGUUCCGACCCGCUCGAAAGGCGUAACGAUCUGGGCGCUGUCUCGGAGAGAGGCUCGGCGAAAUAGGAUUGUCUGUGAAGAUACGGACUACCUGCAUUUGGACAGAAAGACCCUAUGAAGCUUUACUAUAGCUUGGAAUUGUGUUCGGGCUUCCUGUGCGCAGGAUAGGUGGGAGGCGUAGAAGGUAUUCUUGUGGGGAUACUGGAGCCAACGGUGAGAUACCACUCUCAGGAGGCUAGAAUUCUAACUUAAUUAAGGACAGUUUCAGGUGGGUAGUUUGACUGGGGCGGUCGCCUCCAAAAAGGUAACGGAGGCGUACAAAGGUUCCCUCAGACUGGUUGGAAAUCAGUCGAAGAGUGCAAAGGCAGAAGGGAGCUUGACUGCGAGAAGUACAGUUCGAGCAGGGUGGAAACACGGUCUUAGUGAUCCGACGGUGCUGUGUGGAAGGGCCGUCGCUCAACGGAUAAAGGUUACUCUAGGAUAACAGGCUGAUCUCCCCCAAGAGUUCACAUCGACGGGGAGGUUUGGCACCUCGAUGUCGGCUCAUCGCAACCUGGGGCGGAAGUACGUCCCAAGGGUUGGGCUGUUCGCCCAUUAAAGCGGUACGUGAGCUGGGUUCAGAACGUCGUGAGACAGUUCGGUCCAUAUCCGAUGUAGGCGUGAGAAUAUUGAGAGGAGCCUUCCUUAGUACGAGAGGACCGGGAAGGACGCACCGCUGGUGUACCUGUUAUGAUGCCAAUUGUAAACGCAGGGUAGCCAAGUGCGGAGAGGAUAACCGCUGAAAGCAUCUAAGUGGGAAGCCCACCUCAAGAUGAGUAUUCUGGUGUAAGGUCACGGGAAGACGACCCGUAAAUAGGCACGAGGUGGAAGUGCAGAGAUGUAUGAAGCCGAAGUGUACUAAUAGACCGUCGGCUUGAC